GACGAACGCUGGCGGCGUGCUUAACACAUGCAAGUCGAACGGAAAGGCCCUGCUUUUGUGGGGUGCUCGAGUGGCGAACGGGUGAGUAACACGUGAGUAACCUGCCCUUGACUUUGGGAUAACUUCAGGAAACUGGGGCUAAUACCGGAUAGGAGCUCCUGCUGCAUGGUGGGGGUUGGAAAGUUUCGGCGGUUGGGGAUGGACUCGCGGCUUAUCAGCUUGUUGGUGGGGUAGUGGCUUACCAAGGCUUUGACGGGUAGCCGGCCUGAGAGGGCGACCGGCCACAUUGGGACUGAGAUACGGCCCAGACUCCUACGGGAGGCAGCAGUGGGGAAUAUUGCACAAUGGGCGGAAGCCUGAUGCAGCAACGCCGCGUGCGGGAUGACGGCCUUCGGGUUGUAAACCGCUUUCGCCUGUGACGAAGCGUGAGUGACGGUAAUGGGUAAAGAAGCACCGGCUAACUACGUGCCAGCAGCCGCGGUGAUACGUAGGGUGCGAGCGUUGUCCGGAUUUAUUGGGCGUAAAGGGCUCGUAGGUGGUUGAUCGCGUCGGAAGUGUAAUCUUGGGGCUUAACCCUGAGCGUGCUUUCGAUACGGGUUGACUUGAGGAAGGUAGGGGAGAAUGGAAUUCCUGGUGGAGCGGUGGAAUGCGCAGAUAUCAGGAGGAACACCAGUGGCGAAGGCGGUUCUCUGGGCCUUUCCUGACGCUGAGGAGCGAAAGCGUGGGGAGCGAACAGGCUUAGAUACCCUGGUAGUCCACGCUGUAAACGGUGGGUACUAGGUGUGGGGUCCAUUCCACGGGUUCCGUGCCGUAGCUAACGCUUUAAGUACCCCGCCUGGGGAGUACGGCCGCAAGGCUAAAACUCAAAGGAAUUGACGGGGCCCCGCACAAGCGGCGGAGCAUGCGGAUUAAUUCGAUGCAACGCGUAGAACCUUACCUGGGUUUGACAUGGAUCGGGAGUGCUCAGAGAUGGGUGUGCCUCUUUUGGGGUCGGUUCACAGGUGGUGCAUGCCUGUCGUCAGCUCGUGUCGUGAGAUGUUGGGUUAAGUCCCGCAACGAGCGCAACCCUUGUUCACUGUUGCCAGCACGUUAUGGUGGGGACUCAGUGGAGACCGCCGGGGUCAACUCGGAGGAAGGUGGGGAUGACGUCAAGUCCUCAUGCCCCUUAUGUCCAGGGCUUCACGCACGCUACAAUGGCUGGUACAGAGAGUGGCGAGCCUGUGAGGGUGAGCGAAUCUCGGAAAGCCGGUCUCAGUUCGGAUUGGGGUCUGCAACUCGACCUCAUGAAGUCGGAGUCGCUAGUAAUCGCAGAUCAGCAACGCUGCGGUGAAUACGUUCCCGGGGCU
Molecule: ribosomal RNA, 1346 nt
Filed under: uncultured bacterium
Lineage: Bacteria
Description: bacterial SSU rRNA
Rfam family: Bacterial small subunit ribosomal RNA
Source: RNAcentral